Molecule: ribosomal RNA, 253 nt
Filed under: uncultured bacterium
Lineage: Bacteria
Description: partial 16S ribosomal RNA
Rfam family: Bacterial small subunit ribosomal RNA
Source: RNAcentral
UACGGAGGGUGCAAGCGUUAAUCGGAAUUACUGGGCGUAAAGCGCACGUAGGCGGCUAUUUAAGUCAGAUGUGAAAGCCCUGGGCUUAACCUGGGAACUGCAUCUGAUACUGGGUAGCUAGAAUGUGGGAGAGGAGAGUGGAAUUUCCGGUGUAGCGGUGAAAUGCAUAGAGAUCGGAAGGAACACCAGUGGCGAAGGCGGCUCUCUGGACCAACAUUGACGCUGAGGUGCGAAAGCGUGGGUAGCAAACAGG